UACGUAGGGUCCAAGCGUUAUCCGGAGUUACUGGGCGUAAAGCGCACGUAGGCGGAUUUGUAAGUCAGGGGUGAAAUCCCGGGGCUCAACCUCGGAACUGCCUUUGAUACUGCAAAUCUCGAGUCCGGAAGAGGUGAGUGGAAUUCUUAGUGUAGAGGUGAAAUUCGUAGAUAUUAGGAAGAACACCAGUGGCGAAGGCGGCUCACUGGUCCGGUACUGACGCUGAGGUGCGAAAGCGUGGGGAGCAAACAGG
RNAcentral lists this ribosomal RNA (253 nucleotides) under uncultured bacterium. Its description in RNAcentral is "partial 16S ribosomal RNA". It matches the Rfam family "Bacterial small subunit ribosomal RNA", at positions 524 to 776 of the family's 1533-position model. The record is from RNAcentral.